AUAACAAUUUAUUGUACAUUUUAAAAUAACUAAAAGUAUAUAAUUACACUGUUUUUAAUACAAAGGAUAAAUGCUAGAGGUGAUAGAUACCUUAUUUACCCUAAUGUAGUUACUACAUAUUAUAGGCCUGAAUCAAAAUAUGCCAUAUAAAGCAUAAAUAUAUACAUAUACUAUAUACUCACAAAUACUAAUAAUAAAUUUCAGUAAGAAAAGAGAAUAAAAAUUUAACCUAUGGGAACAAUAUUCUUAAAUUCAUUUGCUGUUUAAAGCCACUGGCAAAGUGAUUACUAGAGACAUUAUUCCAUUAUGUACCAAAUAGUAUAUUGCUACCAUCUUUUACCUACACCUUUGAGUAAGGUGGGAUAGGUUAGUGGCAUAAUAAUGCUUCAUUAAAUGCACAAUAGUCUUAACAUGGUAAAAAACAUAAAAUUAAAUUCACACAUAAUCUAACAAUUUUUAAAUGCACUGCAUUUUAUUACAUAAAAGUACAAUAAGUAAAAUAUACGAAUUUAGUUUAAUAUACUUUUAUCAAUAAUUAUUUCUUGCACUAUAAUGUAGAAAAGUAUUACUCUGACCUACCUUAUACAUUACUUCAUAUAGGUUAACUACAAAGAGCCUCUCCACUUAUAUUUUCAUCAUGCAUCUUACAUUUUAAUGUCCUUACUUUUAUAGAAAAGGUCAUAAAUGCCCAAUUAAUAAAAAACUAUCUCUAAUAUCUCUGAUGCAGCAAAAAUUGAUCACAUGCUUUCACAUGUGAAUACAAUAAGAAUAAAAUAACAGCAUAAAGUAAUUUGAAAGCUGUAUUAUGUCAUUACCCACUUUUCAGAAAAAUUUUUUUAAGGAAACAAAUACACUUUUUUUUUUGAGAUGGAGUCUUGCUCUGUUGCCCAGGCUGGACAAUGGUGCAACCUCGGCUCACUGCAACCUCCACCUCCCAGGUUCAAGCAAUUCCAAUUCUCUGCCUCAGCCUCCCAAGCAGCUGGGAUUAUACGCGCCGGCCACCAUGCAUGGCUAAUUUUUGUAUUUUUAGUACAGACAGGGUUUCACCAUCUUGGCCAAGAUGGUCUUGAACUCCUGACCUCGUGAUCCACCUGCCUUGGCCUCCCAAAGUGUUGGGAUUACAGGCAUGAGCCACCACACGCAGCUGGAACAAGUAUACUUUUAAUGUAAUUACAAUGCUUCCAAAAAUCUGCUUUUAAAGUUAUACACAAAUAAAUUUUUUUUUUUCCUGGAGACAGAGUUUCACUCUUAUUGCCCAGGCUGGAGUGCAAUGAUCUCGACUCACCACAACCUCUGCCUCCAGGGUUCAAGCCUCCUGAGUAGCUGGGAUUACAGGCAUGUGCCACCAUGCAUGGCUAAUUUUAUAUUUUCAGUAGAGACUGGGGUUUCUCUCCAGUAUGAGUUCUCCUAUGUUUAUGGAGGCCUGCAGACCAUGUAAAGGCUUUGCCACAUUCUUCACAUUUGUAUGGUUUCUCUCCAGUAUGAAUUAUCUUAUGCAUAGUAAGGUGUGAGGAGCGGGUGAAGGCUUUGCCACAUUCUUCACAUUUGUAGGGUUUCUCUCCCGUAUGAAUCUUCUCAUGUUUACUAAGGAUCGAGGAUGAAAUAAAGGCUUUGCCACAUUUAUCACACGUGUACGGUUUCUCUCCAGUAUGAAUUUUCUUAUGUGAAGAAAGAGUUGCAGGAUGGUUAAAAGCUUUGUCACAUUCUUUACAUUUGUAGGGUUGCUCUCCAGUAUGGAUUAUCUUAUGUGUAGUAAGGGUAUAGGGGUACAUAAAGGCUUUGCCACAUUCUUCACAAAUGUAGGGUUUCUCUCCACUAUGAAUUUUCUUAUGUGUAGUAAAGCUAGAGAAGUACUUAAAGACUUUGCCACAUUCUUCACAUUUGUAGGGUUUCUCUCUAGUAUGAGUUAUCUUAUGUGUAGUAAGGUGUGAGGACCGGUUGAAGGCUUUGCCACAUUCUUCACAUUUGUAUGGUUUCUCUCCAGUAUCAAUUUUUUUAUGUGUAGUAUGGGUUGAGGACUGGUUAAAAGCUUUGUCACCUUCUAUAUAUUUCAAAGGUUUUUUUUCAGUAUGUCUUCUUUUAUGUCUCUUUGAAUUUGAAAAUUG
RNAcentral lists this long non-coding RNA (2105 nucleotides) under Homo sapiens (human). RNAcentral describes it as "HSALNT0257032". The record is from RNAcentral. Lineage: Eukaryota; Metazoa; Chordata; Mammalia; Primates; Hominidae.